GGUCAAGUUAUUAAGGGUGCAGGGCGGAUGCCUUGGCACUAGGAGCCGAUGAAGGACGUGAUAAGCUGCGAUAAGCUUCGGGGAGUUGCACGUAAACUUUGAUCCGAAGAUUUCCGAAUGAGGAAACUCACUUAGAGUAAUGUCUAAGUAUCAUUAAGUGAAUACAUAGCUUAAUGAGGGGAACUCAGGGAACUGAAACAUCUAAGUACCUGAAGGAAGAGAAAGAAAUUCGAUUCCGUAAGUAGCGGCGAGCGAACGCGGAUUAGCCCAAACCAAUAAAGUUUUCUUUAUUGGGGUUGCGGACAUAUCAUAACGAAGAGGUAUCGUAAUUGAAGAGGUUUGGAAAGACCCACCACAGAAGGUAAUAGUCCUGUAUGUUAAACGAGAAGACUUUAGAUAUGAUCCAGAGU
Molecule: ribosomal RNA, 410 nt
Filed under: Clostridioides difficile
Lineage: Bacteria; Bacillati; Bacillota; Clostridia; Peptostreptococcales; Peptostreptococcaceae
Description: partial 23S ribosomal RNA
Rfam family: Bacterial large subunit ribosomal RNA
Source: RNAcentral